RNAcentral lists this ribosomal RNA (465 nucleotides) under uncultured bacterium. RNAcentral's name for it is "partial 16S ribosomal RNA". It matches the Rfam family "Bacterial small subunit ribosomal RNA", at positions 28 to 507 of the family's 1533-position model. The record is from RNAcentral.
GACGAACGCUGGCGGCGUGCUUAACACAUGCAAGUCGUACGGUAAGGCCCUUUCGGGGGUACACGAGUGGCGAACGGGUGAGUAACACGUGAGUAACCUGCCCACAACUUUGGGAUAACGCUAGGAAACUGGUGCUAAUACUGGAUAUGUGCUCCUGCUGCAUGGUGGGGGUUGGAAAGCUCCGGCGGUUGUGGAUGGACUCGCGGCCUAUCAGCUUGUUGGUGGGGUAGUGGCCUACCAAGGCGGCGACGGGUAGCCGGCCUGAGAGGGUGACCGGCCACAUUGGGACUGAGAUACGGCCCAGACUCCCACGGGAGGCAGCAGUGGGGAAUAUUGCACAAUGGGCGCAAGCCUGAUGCAGCAACGCCGCGUGCGGGAUGACGGCCUUCGGGUUGUAAACCGCUUUCAGCAGGGACGAAGCUUUUUGUGACGGUACCUGCAGAAGAAGCACCGGCUAACUACGUG